This 414-nucleotide ribosomal RNA is filed under the name uncultured Pseudomonas sp. RNAcentral's name for it is "bacterial SSU rRNA". It matches the Rfam family "Bacterial small subunit ribosomal RNA", at positions 969 to 1382 of the family's 1533-position model. Lineage: Bacteria; Pseudomonadati; Pseudomonadota; Gammaproteobacteria; Pseudomonadales; Pseudomonadaceae. The record is from RNAcentral.
CCUUACCAGGCCUUGACAUGCAGAGAACUUUCCAGAGAUGGAUUGGUGCCUUCGGGAACUCUGACACAGGUGCUGCAUGGCUGUCGUCAGCUCGUGUCGUGAGAUGUUGGGUUAAGUCCCGUAACGAGCGCAACCCUUGUCCUUAGUUACCAGCGCGUUAUGGUGGGCACUCUAAGGAGACUGCCGGUGACAAACCGGAGGAAGGCGGGGAUGACGUCAAGUCAUCAUGGCCCUUACGGCCUGGGCUACACACGUGCUACAAUGGUCGGUACAAAGGGUUGCCAAGCCGCGAGGUGGAGCUAAUCCCAUAAAACCGAUCGUAGUCCGGAUCGCAGUCUGCAACUCGACUGCGUGAAGUCGGAAUCGCUAGUAAUCGUGAAUCAGAAUGUCACGGUGAAUACGUUCCCGGGCCUU